UUUUUUUUUUUUUUUUUAAUUGGGUGAAGAGCCAAAAAGCUACUGUCCCUGGGUGCCAGGCAAGCCAGUUCCUUGGUUCCCUGAAGGGAACUUGCUCUCCUCUCUUGUGGCACCAUCCAGCCUCAGGGUCUUAGGGACUUUUGAGUAAGAAUUUAAAUGGCUGAGGGAGAGGCCAGAGGAGACUAGAGGUCACAAGAUGGAUCUGUGGAGGUAAGAGGUUGCAGAGGGAGGAGUUUGUGAUAGAUUCCACCCAGACCUAAGUUGCUGGUGGGUGGGAGAGCUGGGAAGUAGGAUUAUCCAGGGAAGGGUGAAGAGGGGUAGCCGAGGGACUGGGGGGGAAGGGGGGUGGGGAAGGUAGAAGCACUGUUAGCAUCAUCCAUACAGGGGUUGAUGAAGGAAGGGAUCCUGGCAGAAUUUUUGCUCUGGGACCCGCAAGUUGCCUAGUAUUAUGCUUGAGGCCACUCUCACUAGGAGGAAGGGGCGGCCAAAUGGAGGCCCAGUGGAUGGUAGGCUGCUUAAUUUCCUGGAAGGGGUGAUUGGAUGGAAAGAGGCCAGGAACCCCAGCCUGAGCGAGACUGCCGUGCACCCCACAGUCUGACUGCACAGAGCCGCCUCUGUUGGCAGAAGGCGCUGAGGCUCCCCUUCCUGUGUAUUCAGAAUCCGUGUUUGCCAAUAUAUUUUGCUUUCAAUUCCAAGAGGAGCUCUGGGAAAACCUGUGGAUAAAACCAAAUGCCAAACGUUUUGGACGUUGUUUCCUUUUCCUUUUUCUCUCUCUGAUUGUUUUAAUUGUUCUGUGGUGGUUUUAAUGGAUUUGAGACCCUGGAGCGGCAGCUGCCUUUCUGAUUUCCAGCUGCUUUUUGUGAAUAAUUUAAAAAGAAAAAAAAAAAAAGAAACUUUACAUUUUGGAGACAAACCUGUGUGAGUUUUUUAUUGGUACAAACGUUGUAUUUAACACUAGGGGUUUUGUACAGUUUUUUGCCUUUUCUACUAGAAAACAAUGUAAAGUGAUUUCACAAUGUGAAGAGAAAAAAAAAUUGCCACUAUGACCAAACGCACAGUCUGUUCUGCAGCAACAACGGGAUUCAAUCAACUCAAAGUCGUGAUUCAGCCGUAGAAAUGCUUUUCCUUUACCUUGUUUGAGCUUUUCCUUUCUUUCCUGUUUUGAUUUGCAAAAGAAAAUGUCUUUUUUGUGUGAACUUGUGUUGUACUAUGUAGAAAAUUAUGGAUUUUACUUUAAUGGUUUAAAAAAAAAAAAGGCAAGAAGAGCCUUUGUCGCUUUUCUGACCUGAUCACAGAGUUUGUGUAGUGGAUUAAAAAAGAAAAAAAAAUUGUUACAAGUUUGGAGCAAGGGAGUAUGUGUUUAAAAGGAAUCUCCUUCCUUUUUGUGUGUUUUUCCUUUUGUCCCAAUGGGGAACCUAAAUCUGUUUUAAUUGCACAGACACACGGACAAAAAGUCAUUUUGUAUCUGCCAAGUGUGGUACCUUCCUUUGUUUAUUUGCUAUUAAACUGUUUGAGAAGAA
RNAcentral lists this long non-coding RNA (1520 nucleotides) under Canis lupus familiaris (dog). RNAcentral's name for it is "lncRNA (ENSCAFG00845020865.1)". The record is from RNAcentral. Lineage: Eukaryota; Metazoa; Chordata; Mammalia; Carnivora; Canidae.